UAGGGAAUCUUCCGCAAUGGGCGAAAGCCUGACGGAGCAACGCCGCGUGAGUGAUGAAGGUCUUCGGAUCGUAAAACUCUGUUAUUAGGGAAGAACAAAUGUGUAAGUAACUAUGCACGUCUUGACGGUACCUAAUCAGAAAGCCACGGCUAACUACGUGCCAGCAGCCGCGGUAAUACGUAGGUGGCAAGCGUUAUCCGGAAUUAUUGGGCGUAAAGCGCGCGUAGGCGGUUUUUUAAGUCUGAUGUGAAAGCCCAUGGCUCAACCGUGGAGGGUCAUUGGAAACUGGAAAACUUGAGUGCAGAAGAGGAAAGUGGAAUUCCAUGUGUAGCGGUGAAAUGCGCAGAGAUAUGGAGGAACACCAGUGGCGAAGGCGACUUUCUGGUCUGUAACUGACGCUGAUGUGCGAAAGCGUGGGGAUCAAACAGG
RNAcentral lists this ribosomal RNA (429 nucleotides) under Actinomycetes bacterium. RNAcentral describes it as "Actinobacteria bacterium partial 16S ribosomal RNA". It matches the Rfam family "Bacterial small subunit ribosomal RNA", at positions 355 to 776 of the family's 1533-position model. Lineage: Bacteria; Bacillati; Actinomycetota; Actinomycetes. The record is from RNAcentral.